UGGACUCCAGCUUCUCCUGCAGGUUCCGGAUCUCGUUUUGCUCGCUGUCACCUUCGUUGCUGACAAGCGACAUGGCCCGCAUCCGAGGAAACCAGUCCAAAUUCCUCUCCUAAAAGAAAAGACAUGCAGGAACCAGGCGGGGCAGGAAGAGGCAGGAUUGGUUUUCACGGACUGGGAAAGACCCCGGCGAUGACUUCCUCCAGCCUCCCAGGUGAUCCUGGAUGAAGCAGCCUCAGAUUCAUUACCCAUGUCAGGGCUGGGAACCAGAGUCUUCACACCACAGACCAUGGGGACCUGAUUCUGAACACCUUCAUCUGUCAUCCCUGCAGGGAGCGUCUUGCUUACGACUCCUCCCCUCCUGGUACAAACAGCUGGACGUCUGGCUUUUCUUUUCCUGAUAUCCUGGACUUGCUUGUGGCACG
Mesocricetus auratus (golden hamster) is the source of this 422-nucleotide long non-coding RNA. RefSeq lists it as uncharacterized. The transcript has 4 exons. NCBI's taxonomy places the organism in Eukaryota, Metazoa, Chordata, Mammalia, Rodentia, Cricetidae. The record is from RefSeq and is a predicted model, not a curated record.